This 640-nucleotide ribosomal RNA is filed under the name Microbacteriaceae bacterium Se1Pt_276. RNAcentral describes it as "bacterial SSU rRNA". It matches the Rfam family "Bacterial small subunit ribosomal RNA", at positions 382 to 1035 of the family's 1533-position model. The record is from RNAcentral. Lineage: Bacteria; Bacillati; Actinomycetota; Actinomycetes; Micrococcales; Microbacteriaceae. RNAcentral also lists the same sequence under 1 other name.
CCUGAUGCAGCAACGCCGCGUGAGGGACGAAGGCCUUCGGGUUGUAAACCUCUUUUAGUAGGGAAGAAGCGAAAGUGACGGUACCUGCAGAAAAAGCACCGGCUAACUACGUGCCAGCAGCCGCGGUAAUACGUAGGGUGCAAGCGUUGUCCGGAAUUAUUGGGCGUAAAGAGCUCGUAGGCGGUUUGUCGCGUCUGCUGUGAAAACUGGAGGCUCAACCUCCAGCCUGCAGUGGGUACGGGCAGACUAGAGUGCGGUAGGGGAGAUUGGAAUUCCUGGUGUAGCGGUGGAAUGCGCAGAUAUCAGGAGGAACACCGAUGGCGAAGGCAGAUCUCUGGGCCGUAACUGACGCUGAGGAGCGAAAGCAUGGGGAGCGAACAGGAUUAGAUACCCUGGUAGUCCAUGCCGUAAACGUUGGGAACUAGAUGUAGGGGCCAUUCCACGGUUUCUGUGUCGCAGCUAACGCAUUAAGUUCCCCGCCUGGGGAGUACGGCCGCAAGGCUAAAACUCAAAGGAAUUGACGGGGGCCCGCACAAGCGGCGGAGCAUGCGGAUUAAUUCGAUGCAACGCGAAGAACCUUACCAAGGCUUGACAUAUACCGGAAACGGCUAGAGAUAGUCGCCCCGCAAGGUCGGUAUAC